This 482-nucleotide ribosomal RNA is filed under the name uncultured bacterium. RNAcentral's name for it is "partial 16S ribosomal RNA". It matches the Rfam family "Bacterial small subunit ribosomal RNA", at positions 30 to 507 of the family's 1533-position model. The record is from RNAcentral.
AUUGAACGCUGGCGGCAUGCUUUACACAUGCAAGUCGAACGGUAACAGGCCGCAAGGUGCUGACGAGUGGCGAACGGGUGAGUAAUGCAUCGGAACGUGCCCAGUCGUGGGGGAUAACUACUCGAAAGAGUAGCUAAUACCGCAUACGAUCUAUGGAUGAAAGCGGGGGACCGUAAGGCCUCGCGCGAUUGGAGCGGCCGAUGUCAGAUUAGGUAGUUGGUGGGGUAAAGGCUCACCAAGCCAACGAUCUGUAGCUGGUCUGAGAGGACGACCAGCCACACUGGAACUGAGACACGGCCCAGACUCCUACGGGAGGCGGCAGUGGGGAAUUUUGGACAAUGGGCGCAAGCCUGAUCCAGCAAUGCCGCGUGCAGGAAGAAGGCCUUCGGGUUGUAAACUGCUUUUGUACGGAACGAAACGGCUCUGGUUAAUACCCGGGGCUAAUGACGGUACCGUAAGAAUAAGCACCGGCUAACUACGUG